AUUGAACGCUGGCGGCAGGCCUAACACAUGCAAGUCGAGCGGAUGAAGGGAGCUUGAUACUGGAUUAAGCGGCGGACGGGUGAGUAAUGCAUAGGAAUCUGCCUGGUAGUGGGGGAUAACGUCCGGAAACGGGCGCUAAUACCGCAUACGUCCUGAGGGAGAAAGUGGGGGAUCUUCGGACCUCACGCUAUUAGAUGAGCCUAGGUCGGAUUAGCUAGUUGGUGGGGUAAAGGCCUACCAAGGCGACGAUCCGUAACUGGUCUGAGAGGAUGAUCAGUCACACUGGAACUGAGACACGGUCCAGACUCCUACGGGAGGCAGCAGUGGGGAAUAUUGGACAAUGGGCGAAAGCCUGAUCCAGCCAUGCCGCGUGUGUGAAGAAGGUCUUCGGAUUGUAAAGCACUUUAAGUUGGGAGGAAGGGCAGUAAGUUAAUACCUUGCUGUUUUGACGUUACCAACAGAAUAAGCACCGGCUAACUUCGUG
This 484-nucleotide ribosomal RNA is filed under the name uncultured bacterium. Its description in RNAcentral is "partial 16S ribosomal RNA". It matches the Rfam family "Bacterial small subunit ribosomal RNA", at positions 30 to 507 of the family's 1533-position model. The record is from RNAcentral.